GCCCAGACUAUGAAUGAGUCUGCACUGGCGGCAUCACUGCAGCCAACACAAUGGAGUCAGAGGGGAGGAGGCAGCCAGAUGAAUGGAGUUUUCAAAACCAAAUGAUAUAUGAACUGCUGAAAUGAUCUUUAAGAGAUUUACAGAGAAUGAAGAAGUCAAAAAGCUCUGCACACAGACUGCGCUGAACCCUGCAAGUGGAAGUGCACCCCCUCAGCGAGACCCCUGCCCAACUGAGAAAAGAAAAACCCCAACAGAUGCAUUGCCUGAAAGAACAGUGAUGAGAGGAAGACAGCUACUACCUCUCUCAUUCACACCUGCAAGGAGACUGAUUCUCUGAAAAACCACAAGGCACCUGCUGUACCUUGCUGUACCUGCCAUUGCCCUGCUACAGUCACCCCAUCCUGAGACCCCAUAUUUUCCACCCUCUGAGCUGAUAUCUCCUUCCCUUCUUAAACUCCCCCAUAUAAACUGCAUUGCCAUCCUUCCUAAGCCAACAGUCUCUGCCCAUCUGCAACCAGAUGGCAAUAAACUCAUAGCAUGUUGUUUAGACUUUGCCUGCCUCAGUAGUCUCACUCAUCCUCUAGUCAAACCUUACACUUAUGGCACUAAAUUUUCAAUGUUCUUCCCUUUCCUCUCAUCUUCCAGUUC
RNAcentral lists this long non-coding RNA (648 nucleotides) under Fukomys damarensis (Damara mole-rat). RNAcentral's name for it is "lncRNA (ENSFDAG00000024330.1)". Lineage: Eukaryota; Metazoa; Chordata; Mammalia; Rodentia; Bathyergidae. The record is from RNAcentral.